Long non-coding RNA from Vidua macroura (Pin-tailed whydah), 1621 nucleotides. RefSeq lists it as uncharacterized. Lineage: Eukaryota; Metazoa; Chordata; Aves; Passeriformes; Viduidae. The record is from RefSeq and is a predicted model, not a curated record. The transcript is spliced from 3 exons.
CUCGAGACGUGUUCCUUAGCAGUCCCGUCCCGUUCAUGAUUUGUACAUAGAGCCCCGGCCGGCAAUAAUAGACAAAAUUGUUUUUCCUUCAUGAUCACCAUCAACCUCCUCGAAACCAAAGAAAGAAAAAAGAAAACCUCCACAAUAUUUGAAAAGUUUCUCCUGGACAGUCUUUACCAUCUGCAUUCAUGUCUGGAUCCCACACUCAGUAUAAUUUGUUGGAGGGAAGAAUAAAAAAAGUCUGCAACAGAACCUCUGAGACAAUUUCACACAUCUGUUCCUGCAGGGAAGGGUGUGGAUUUUGGCUCCAUUCAAACAAUAUGACAUCAAAAAUAAAAUGACAAGAAAGAAGAGAAUUUUGUCUCAUUUUGAUUAUAAAUGCCAUAAAUGAAAGUUGGGUUCCAGAGAAGACAUCUCACUAUAUCAAACCUAGCCAAGCUAAACAAAUAAAUAAAACAAACAAGCAAGCAAAUAAACACAACUUCAAAACAAAUAACAAAACUGAAGACAAAUGUGGGAUCUCAUCCUGCUGAGAUUUUUACCUCAGAUGCUUUUACAGAGGGUUUUGACCGCAGAUCAUGGUGGACAGUAUACUGAGAGGGCACUUCCCAAGAACAGUGGUUUCUUGGGAGCCAGUAUGCUAAUAGGACUAUCCUAUAUUUGGUCAAGUUUCCAGUUGUUUUUCUCCACUGGUUCAGGACUUUUUUCUUAUAAGGUCAUGUUCUGAGUUCACAUUCGUGAUUGGACCUUUGUCCUCACAUGCCUGUCGGAGUUUGCCCCGCCCAGGGGUCUUUGGAAUCUAGUACGUGUAACCUGCAGUUUUCAAGUUGGUUAUUUUCGUUAUUAAAGUUUUUAUUUUCUGGGCUUGUCCAUCACUUCCGUUCCUCAUUUUUUAGCCAGCAUCUCCUGGUGAAGACAAGCAAGGAGAUCACACUGAGCUUCGAAGCUCCAUAAAAAAAGCCACACAUUUCCACAUUUUAGUUAGCGGCAAGGAAUUAGGGAACAGAAUCAUUUUGCCUCAAGGGAGGGACUAGUUAUGAAAGUGAAGUAGAAAAUAUACUGAUCUGAGGAAGUCCUGAGAAAGUUUGGCCUGACCAAAUGUCUUGGUAAGGGAUGAGUUUGUUGAGUUGUAGUCUCACAGACAUUAGUAAAUUGUAGUAAAAAAUUUGAAAAAUAUUGAAACUCAGGACACUAGCUGUAUAAAGAUUGUCUGAACAAAAAGACAUUAUUUUAAACAGAGCAUUAGUGGUUGUGUUGGGUUUGCAUGGCAUGAUUUGGGUAGCGGGGGACCACAGAGGUGGCUUCUGUGAGAAGCUACCAGAAGCUUCUGCCAUGUCUGGCAGAGACAGUCCCUGAUGGCUCUGAAGAUGGACAUGCUGCUGGCCAAAUCUGGUCUAAUUAAAGAUGAUGGUAACACCUCUGGGAUAACAUAUUUAAGAAGAAAAUAAAAACAAAGUGGAGCACAGUGUUAAUUCCAGCUAGACAAGAUGAGGAGGUGAGAAAUGUGAGGGAAAACAACAUGGAGACACCAAGGUCAGUGGAGAAGGACAGGGAGGAGCUGCUCCAGGCACCAGAGCCAAGAUUCCUCUGCAGGCUGUGGUGAGACCAUGCUGAAGCAGCU